AGUUAACAUAACAUCCAAGAUGCAGCAUAUAAUAUCACCCAUGUGUUAAUAUAACUGUAUGUUAACAGAGCAUCAAAGACUGCUAAAUUAAAUGGUUCACAAUAUGAGAUCCCUAACAAACAAAUACCAAUAGAAAAGAAAAUGAUGCCCCAAAUUCAUGCAGCGGUCAUUCCCCAAAAGAAAAAACAAAGUAAAAUACUAGCCGACACAACUGCUGAUGUGAUAAUUACUCAACUCCUAACUAUCUCGAGGGAAUAUGAAAAUCUCCUGCAAGAUAUAGCCGUUUUUACAAUUUAAUUUCAAGAUUCUAACCCAAACCCAUCAAUAGGCCGUUGUCAAAGUUUAUGGAAUCUAUUAAGGAGAGAAUUUUAUAGAAAAUGCAGAGAGCUAAAGCCAAUAACUACUACAAGAGAAGGAAGCAAUUCCAGCCAAACAAUCCUAAUCCACAAAAAGGUAUGUAAAUAUAAACAAGACCUAUAAAACCACUUUGACCAACUGAAAAGGCAAGAAAAAGAGUGAGCAACAGAGAAAAAACAUUUCUAAAAGUUCUCUAUAUUUCAGAUUCGCUAACAACAAAAGGCAUAAAACAAACAACCACUGU
Molecule: unclassified non-coding RNA, 601 nt
Filed under: Hevea brasiliensis (rubber tree)
Lineage: Eukaryota; Viridiplantae; Streptophyta; Magnoliopsida; Malpighiales; Euphorbiaceae
Source: RNAcentral